AGAUGACGAAGAAUCCUCAUUCCAACCUGUUUACUCUACUCUGAUUAUCAAAGGAUCCGGUCCAUCCAGUCCCACAGUGACCCAGAAUGAAACAGCAGCCAAAGACUCGAGUUCAACGGAGCGGGACGCUCUCUAUGUACCUAUGCACAAGGUCAAAAACAGCAGAGAGACGUCUGACUGAAGACUCUGUGAUGUCUGCAGGAGAAGAAGAAACAUGUCAUGAAUACUGAUGAAUGAAUGAAUGUGCAACUUUGUGAUAAACUUAUUUGUAUUUUUGCAGUCAGUUAUUUUAUGUCGGUCUUGUUCUGUAUAUUUAAAUAAUUUCACUUUCACAUGAUCCUGCAGCUCCAUCAAACCGUUCAUGUUUCAACUUGUUGCAUUUCUAUUUCCUGUUUUCUGUUACAAAACUAAUGUAAGAAACUUAUAAUGCUUAUAAUAUUGCUCAUAUGCUUUAUUUUAUAUUAUAUAUAUAUAUAUUGUAUAUUGAAGUAUGCAUACGGUUAAAGGCAGUCCAGCUAAUGUAAUCCAACUGUUUUUUAAAUGUUUCAUGUGUAUUUUUUAAUAGUUUCCAGAGAUGGUGGAGGUUGAGCUGACUGAUGUGUUCAGACAGUUUUAAGAUGAUUAAACUCACAGCAUCCGUGUCUAUUUUUAUUAGAAUGAGACAGUUAAACCACAUUGUUUUAUCUGCUCCGUUCACACGUCUGAAGACAAAGUUUAGUAGAAGAAAAGCUGCUGCAGAUUGUAU
Molecule: long non-coding RNA, 745 nt
Organism: Centropristis striata (black sea bass)
Lineage: Eukaryota; Metazoa; Chordata; Actinopteri; Perciformes; Serranidae
Exons: 3
Source: RefSeq, a predicted model, not a curated record